RNAcentral lists this ribosomal RNA (800 nucleotides) under uncultured bacterium. RNAcentral describes it as "bacterial SSU rRNA". It matches the Rfam family "Bacterial small subunit ribosomal RNA", at positions 1 to 798 of the family's 1533-position model. The record is from RNAcentral.
CAUUGCGGAUCCGCGGCCGCAGAGUUUGAUCAUGGCUCAGGACGAACGCUGGCGGCGUGCCUAACACAUGCAAGUCGAGCGGAGAAUGCAAGAUGUUUACAUUGAGCAUUCUUAGCGGCGGACGGGUGAGUAACACGUGGGUAACCUGCCUCAGAGUGGGGGAUAGCCUUUCGAAAGGAAGAUUAAUACCGCAUAAGCUUGUAGCAUCGCAUGGUGCAGCAAGAAAAGGGGCAAUCCGCUCUGAGAUGGACCCGCGGCGCAUUAGCUAGUUGGUGAGGUAACGGCUCACCAAGGCCACAAUGCGUAGCCGACCUGAGAGGGUGAUCGGCCACAUUGGAGCUGAGACACGGUCCAGACUCCUACGGGAGGCAGCAGUGGGGAAUAUUGCACAAUGGGCGAAAGCCUGAUGCAGCAACGCAGCGUGAGUGAUGAAGGCUUUCGAGUCGUAAAGCUCUUUGAUCAGGGAUGAUAAUGACAGUACCUGAAAAACAAGCCACGGCUAACUACGUGCCAGCAGCCGCGGUAAUACGUAGGUGGCGAGCGUUGUCCGGAAUUACUGGGCGUAAAGGAUGCGUAGGUGGAUAUUUAAGUGGGAUGUGAAAUCCCCGGGCUCAACCCGGGAACUGCAUUCCAAACUGGGAUAUCUAGAGUGCAGGAGAGGAAAGCGGAAUUCCUAGUGUAGCGGUGAAAUGCGUAGAUAUUAGAGGAACACCAGUGGCGAAUGCGGCUUUCUGGACUGUAACUGACACUGAGGCAUGAAAGCGUGGGUAGCAAACAGGAUUAGAUACCUGGUAGUCCAC